AACUAAAGAAAAUACAAAGGAAAAUAACUUAACCAUUUCAUUUUUGUUUUUACAGUGUCCACAUUUCUAGCUUCAGCUGCAUGAUAAAAGCAGUUAUUUAUCAUUUUGAAGGAUUGAGGUUCAAUUCCAAGUCUCACAUAUCAUUUUUCAAAAUGAGUUCAGAUCCAAUGAGGCUUAACUCCAUCCUUCAACCUUCUGGUUGCCUUCGCAUCAUUGCUAUUCAACAGUCUGUGGGAACUCUAAAAGUGGCCGCUGUCAAAAGUAUCCUUUGGCAGCUUAAUUCAAACUAAUGAAGUUUCUACAAAAAUAAGCAAUUAUUUUUUUAAUGCCACUUUCUAAUCAUUGGCUGACUAUU
RNAcentral lists this long non-coding RNA (355 nucleotides) under Androctonus crassicauda. Lineage: Eukaryota; Metazoa; Arthropoda; Arachnida; Scorpiones; Buthidae. The record is from RNAcentral.